RNAcentral lists this unclassified non-coding RNA (420 nucleotides) under soil metagenome. RNAcentral describes it as "partial contains 5.8S ribosomal RNA, internal transcribed spacer 2, and large subunit ribosomal RNA". The stretch from base 1 to 120 matches the Rfam family "5.8S ribosomal RNA", at positions 35 to 154 of the family's 154-position model. The record is from RNAcentral.
GAUGAAGAACGCAGCGAAAUGCGAUACGUAAUGUGAAUUGCAGAAUUCAGUGAAUCAUCGAAUCUUUGAACGCAUAUUGCGCUCUUUGGUAUUCCGAAGAGCAUGCUUGUUUGAGUAUCAGUAAACACCUCAACCUCUUCUUGAUUUUUCAAAAGGAGGGUGGACUUGAGCUAUCCCAACAACCUUUACCGGUCGGCGGGCGGCUUGAAAUGCAGGUGCAGCUGGACUUUUAUCUGAGCUAAAAGCAUAUCUAUUUAGUCCUCGUCAAACAGGAUUAUUACUUUUGCUGCAGCUAACAUAAAGGAUAAUUGUCCUCUUUGCUGACUGUUGCAGGAUUUUACGACACUUUAUGUGUUGUUCAACUCGAUCUCAAAUCAAGUAAGACUACCCGCUGAACUUAAGCAUAUCAUAAGCGGAGGA